UAGUAAGUGUGUAAGAGCGUACGGUGGAUGCCUUGGCACCAGGAGCCGAUGAAGGACGUAGUAGGCUGCGAUAAGCCUCGGGGAGCUGUCAAACGAGCUGAGAUCCGAGGAUUUCCGAAUGGGGAAACCCGGCACGAGUGAUGUCGUGUCACCCGCACCUGAAUAUAUAGGGUGUGUGGAGGGAACGUGGGGAAGUGAAACAUCUCAGUACCCACAGGAAGAGAAAACAACAUGUGAUUCCGUGAGUAGUGGCGAGCGAAAGCGGAAGAGGCUAAACCGGUUAUGUGUGAUAGACGGCAGUCGUUGCAUAGCCGGGGUCGUGGGAUUGUUUUUCCUGUUUCUGCCGAAACAGGCGACAGUAAGAAACCAGAGCGUUAGUCGAAUUGGUCUGGGACGGCCAACCGUAGAGGGUGAGAGUCCUGUAGACGAAAACGAUCUGGCUGUCGUAAGCAACU
This 455-nucleotide non-coding RNA is filed under the name Nocardia seriolae. Its description in RNAcentral is "Bacterial large subunit ribosomal RNA". It matches the Rfam family "Bacterial large subunit ribosomal RNA", at positions 1 to 406 of the family's 2925-position model. Lineage: Bacteria; Bacillati; Actinomycetota; Actinomycetes; Mycobacteriales; Nocardiaceae. The record is from Rfam by way of RNAcentral.